UUUUUUUUUUUUUUUUUUUUUUGGCUGGGGNUUUGGCUGAGUGCCUUUUUUGCUACCUCCAAGAGCUGUUAAUUUCGCUCGCUGCCGAGCAAAAGUCAAAGUCAGAGUCUAAACAGCUUGUAAUGAGUUUUCAAUGGCCCAUCUCAAUGAAAUUGAGGGCAAAGACCAGCCGGCUCCGGCAAUGUCAGCCCUCGGAAUUUAUUAGCGAGGGCGAGGUGUGUUCGGGGAAGGCGCAGCAGAGGAGGCACCGAAGUUGCUGGGCUCUUAGGCAAGAGCCCAGCCCUUAUUAAAAAGUGGUGCCAGCAGACUGUUCCGGCAGGGCACACGCUGUUAGACUAUCUGCCACCAGCCGCCCCCGUCCAGGGUCAGACCUGGCUGGGAAACCAAGGGGAGAGAAAUCUCUUGGAAGAAAGAGGAGUUGCCAUCACGUGGUGAUGCGGUCACUCCCAUCUGUCGGUCCCCUACAAUUAACACACAAAGAAGGACGUGUGCCUUUGUCCCUCAAGACACACACGCACACAUCUCAAUCUGCUCACGGUGAUUUAGACAAAAAUGCAGCAGUAUUCAAUUUUGAGUUCUGACUUUUAUUUGUUCGAUUCUGUUGAAACGUCUCUGUCACGGCCGUUUCCAGCAGAUGCCUUAUGAUUUUACCCCCAAGAACACGCUUCAGAAUCUUGCAGUACUUUUCUGCACAAAUGCCAAAUCGCCAUAUAAAACAGAAUUCUGCAUGCACCGCCUGUCCAAUAAACUCAGCGCUGGAGAGAGAACCAUUUGCCACUAGCGUCUCUGGCUGAGAGACAUGCACUGCAAAGCCACUAAACGUAACAUACGAGAGCCAGGGGGUGGUUUGAAGGGUGGGGGUUGGGGGGGGCCACCUUACUUGGGUGUAGCUGCCUAUUUUCAUUUUAGGAGGAAUCCACAGGGUUUGUGCUAAGAGCUGACACAUCCAGUGAGUGACAUAAAUCAGGACUGUUGGAUCCUCCAAGACAAAAUGUUUGGGGUUUUUUUUUUUGGCCUUUUGGGGGCCACACUCAUGGCAUAUGGAGGUUCCCAGAAAAGGCAAAAAGACCAAAAAAAGAAAUGCAAAUGAGAAUCAUGAUGAGACAUCACUUCACCUCACAUCUACUAAUAGGCUAUUAUCAACAACAACAACAGCAGCAGCAGCAGCAAAUGUUAGGGAGGAUGUGGACAAUAUGCUGCUGCUGGGAAUGUAAAAUGGUGCAGCCGCUGUGGAAUCCAGUGUGGCAGUUUCUCAAAGGGUUAGAGCUACAAGCACCACAUGACCCAGCACCUGACGCCCAGAUAUGUAAAAAGAAGAACGGAAGUCAGAGAUUCUAAGAGGUAUUCAUUCACUAGUGUCAAGAGCAGCAUUAUUCAGUUAAUAGCCAAAGGGGGAAGUGAGCCAAGCAUCCACCAACGGUGAACGGAUUAAAAAAAUGUGGCAUAUGUACACAGGGGAAUGCUAUUCAGCCCUGAAAAGGAAAGCGAUUUUGAUAUAUGCUACCAUAUGGGUAGAACCUGAAAACCUGUUUAGUGACAUAAAACACAGGAGGACAGAUAUGCCUGAUUCCACUGACAUGAGAUACAGGAGUCUAAUUCACGAAGCAGAAAGUAGAACAGAGGUACCCAGGGCUGCAAGGAGUGGAGGGGAGAGCGCUUAUUGUUUAAUGGGUACAGAAUGUAUAUUGAGGAUGAGAAAAACAGCUUUAGGUAUGGUUAGUGGUUACACAAAAUUGCAAAUGCAGUUGAUAUCACUGAUUUAUAUACUUAAAAUGGUUAAAAUGAUAAAUAUUACACUACAUACAUUUUAGCACUAUUAAAAACAAAAUGGGUAUCCCCCACACACAAGCACUAAAAUCUAUGCACUGUGUCAUAAGCAAUCUUGCCAGGCUCUUAUUCUGGGCCCUUUAACUCCUACUUUACAAUCAAGGCUAACAAACUCGAUUAACUGGAUUCCCUGACUCAGAGUCUGGAGACAGCUCCCUCAUGAGGCCUCUGCACAUUUUAAUCAGGACAGCAAAUACCUGAAAGGGAUGACCAAGAGCAGCAUGACUCAAGGUUCCCUGAUGCAAUGCUUUAUGGAAUAGCUUGCGAGCCUUUUUAGACCAGCUUGGAAAGAGCAGAGAGCAAGGCACACGGUCUGUCUCAUCUCCUGCGCUUGGCACGUGGAGCUAGACCCAGACAGCACCCGUGCCAUAAACUGUCAGGAGGCCACAUGUGUGUUCACGCGACCUCUGGCCGCAGGUCUCACCCACAAUGGACGGGCUUGGGGUGAGGGGUCCCGAAGAGGUGAAAGGUCUGAACAUCACCAGCAAAAAAAUCCCCACUGGUGACUGGCAAAGAUAACCAGUGGGACCAGCAGGAGAGGCUGCGGCGGCUGGUCCAGGUGAGGCCCGGGCCCCACACGGCAUCCCUCUGGCAGCAGGUGUGGGCGCAGCAGGAGCAUCCAGGGGGCUGACAGGGCCUGGGUGUGGUCCAGGGCAGCACCACUCACGGUGUGGUCCUCAGGACUGGCUGCUCAGCAUCACCCAGAAGUCUGUCAGAAAUGCAAAUUCAUGGGCCUCUUCUAAGUCAGAACCUCCCGGGGCCAGAGCCCAGGAAUCAAUGUUUUAAUAACUCCCCAGGUGUUACUCGUGCCUGGCAAGGUGUUCUUAGGGUUGCACUCUUACAGAAACCUGAGCUCGCAGAGCAAGAGUUUUCUGAAUGCCUCUGAGAGGCUCUCUUCAUUCAGUCCUCCCAGCCUAGUCUAGGCACCUAGGCUCCCACACCUUUGACCGCAGAGGGUUCCCCUCCCAGCCCACCCACUUGGAGCUCCUCGGGACACCUGUGCCCUAAGCUUUUCCAGGGAGACGUGCAUCUCCCCGAAUGGACUCCCCCCGGGAUGAGGUCGUGGCUCCGUCAUUCCUUCCCUACACCUUCACAUCCUCAGAACCCCGGCAGUCCUUGGUGCUUAUCACCCACUAGCAGCCAAGGCAGGUAAAUUUCCUCCAUGAAAUCUCUUCCCCAUUCCUUCCAGCUCCAGCAUCCCCAGUCCGGGAUGGCUUCUCCUACAGAGCUGCCCAAUUGUGGCUCUGGUUUCUCUCUGUGUCAGUCCCUCCUUGGUCUGUCACUCUCCUCUGUCGUGAGCCAGGUCUUACCUAGAACCUCCAGUAUUGCUAGCUCUUCAUAAGCAGAUGUCUAUACCGGAGAGGCACAACUGAAAUAUUGGCGUUUGUGAAAGCGAUUAUUUUUUAAGAACUCUGCUGUCCCCGCAGUCAGCCCAGGACACAGCAAUGGCAAGAGAUCGGACCUCUGUGCAAAGGUUCGCCAAGUUCCCGCCAUCAUGCUGGCAUCACCUCCCUGAAUCCUCACGGGAUUGGGAAGAGGUGCUAGUCUUGCACCCAUCUUGCAGAUGGGGAAACUGAGGCUCAAACGGCCUCAAACAGUUGGUCCAAGGUUAUCACAGGUCAUGUGGGGGAGCCAGGAAUCAAAAGAGGCAGCAUGGCUUUUGAACCCACGCAGUUAUUCACCAGUUUACAGGGCAGUGCAAUACAGGAAAGGGACGAGCGAUGCAGGGAAUGUCGGCACGAGAGGCGCAAAGAAGGGGACGCGAUUUCUGGAGAAGUGGGUGACUGGUCUGAAUGGAAGGAGCUCUGACCCUCCCAAGCCACUCCUGGAAGAGGCAUCUCCCCAGAACAAUAAGCGCCCCCCC
RNAcentral lists this long non-coding RNA (3691 nucleotides) under Sus scrofa (pig). RNAcentral's name for it is "lncRNA (ENSSSCG00025040144.1)". The record is from RNAcentral. Lineage: Eukaryota; Metazoa; Chordata; Mammalia; Artiodactyla; Suidae.